GUGAGGAAUAUUGGUCAAUGGGCGGGAGCCUGAACCAGCCAAGUCGCGUGAAGGAAGAAGGAUCUAUGGUUCGUAAACUUCUUUUGCAGGGGAAUAAAGUGCAGGACGUGUCCUGUUUUGUAUGUACCCUGAGAAUAAGGAUCGGCUAACUCCGUGCCAGCAGCCGCGGUAAUACGGAGGAUCCGAGCGUUAUCCGGAUUUAUUGGGUUUAAAGGGUGCGUAGGUGGUUUGAUAAGUCAGCGGUGAAAGUUUGCAGCUUAACUGUAAAAAUGCCGUUGAAACUGUCGGACUUGAGUGUAAAUGAGGUAGGCGGAAUGCGUGGUGUAGCGGUGAAAUGCAUAGAUAUCACGCAGAACUCCGAUUGCGAAGGCAGCUUACUAAGCUACAACUGACACUGAAGCACGAAAGCGUGGGGAUCAAACAGGAUUAGAAACCCUAGUAGUCC
RNAcentral lists this ribosomal RNA (445 nucleotides) under uncultured bacterium. RNAcentral describes it as "bacterial SSU rRNA". It matches the Rfam family "Bacterial small subunit ribosomal RNA", at positions 354 to 796 of the family's 1533-position model. The record is from RNAcentral.